UACGGAGGGUGCGAGCGUUAAUCGGAAUUACUGGGCGUAAAGCGCGCGUAGGCGGUUAGUUACGCUGGAUGUGAAAGCCCAGGGCUCAACCUUGAAACUGCAUUCAGAACGGGCUGGCUAGAGUACGAGAGGGGGGAGUGGAAUUUCCGGUGUAGCGGUGAAAUGCGUAGAUAUAGGAAGGAACAUCAGUGGCGAAGGCGCCUGCCUGGCUCGAUACUGACGCUGAGGUGCGAAAGCGUGGGGAGCAAACAGG
Molecule: unclassified non-coding RNA, 253 nt
Filed under: uncultured Cellvibrionales bacterium
Lineage: Bacteria; Pseudomonadati; Pseudomonadota; Gammaproteobacteria; Cellvibrionales
Description: contains 16S-23S intergenic spacer region
Rfam family: Bacterial small subunit ribosomal RNA
Source: RNAcentral